GUGACACCGAUCAUAACAAUGAUGACGAUAACAAUAACGAUGACUAUGUUGACAUGAACAGGCAGCGAAGAAGAUGGAGCGUCAGCCCAGCCUGUGCUCCCAGGUCUCUAUGAUGCAGAUGAGGAACAGCAUGGGCAGCACCAGUGACACCGAUGACAUCCUGAACCAGAUCCACCGUGGAGGCUCCAGUGGAUCCUCACAUCCUGUGAAUCAACCCACUCUCUCAGAUCACACCUUGCCCUGAAGGGGGUAAAAAUCUCCUGGCUCCAAGACAUCCAAAACGAUGAAGCCUAUUGAAGAACAAAUGGAAGAUGACGUCUUUAUAGAGUCUGAGUCAGACUCUCCUGUUAAGAAACGCCACACCCACUCGACAGCCAUAGAGGUGUAAGAUGUGACAUUAUCCUACAACAACAGUGCUGACCACCCACCUAUAUUGUAAUCUGAUACAGACCCUGGUUAGUUAUGGUAGAAUAACUUAAACAAUAGCUUGAAAAAGGCUUUUACAUUAUCAAAAUAUCUAUGUACAUGUAUCUAGAAAACGGAACUGCACAUUUUGGCAUCUCACUUUGUCUUGUAGUGUUUGGUAUUAUUGUGAGUUUGUAGCUGUUGUACUUUUUAAAUCCUGUUUGAUUGGAUGUUGUACAAUGCCUUUGCUGUUCAUUCCUACACAGUGAGUGUUCAAAAAAGUAUUAAGUGUCACAACCAAAACAUUUUAGUGUAAGCACAACCUCUGAGGAAGGUUUCUUUUAAAUAUUUUACUCAUUGUGUGACAUAUUGUGUGAUAAAUUCUCUUAUUUAUGCACUGAGCUUCUGCAUGGUUGUGUGUUGAUGAAUGUAGAGAUUUAACAAGUUAAACCUCCUGGUCAAUGCUAACCAUUUGAGGCUGUUGUGCUGUUUUUUCACGGCUAUAAGUACACAAGCUUGGGAUCACUCUUUUAUGCCAUGAUUGUUACCUUGUUACCAUGAUUAAUUACUCAGAGGGAACACCUGAAAAAGAAAUCAACAGAAUUGAUGCAUAGCUCGUAGACCUCUGCUUUUUAUCCUCUAGCGCCCUCUAGGAGCUAUCAUGAGUACUACCGGUUUCUUUUCUCAUUCUGAACUCCUGUCACUGUUAAACCAGGUCAAUGUUCAAACUCAUUCCAUGGAGGGCGUGUUUUGGUUUUUCCUUUCAAUUAAGAUCUAGACAACCAGGUGAGGGAAGUUCUUUACUAAUUAGUGACCUUAAUUCAUCAAUCAAGUACGAGGAGCCAAACAGAAACUCGGCCCUUCGUGGAAUGAGUUUGACACGUGGUUUAAACCAUCACAUCCCUGAAAGAUCAACCAGACCAAAAGAAGAUGUAAGCAACAGGCUUUAUUAUUUCAGUCAAAUAAACCUUUUGAAUAUCCA
Salvelinus sp. IW2-2015 is the source of this 1387-nucleotide RNA transcript. It is a transcript of the gene named blood vessel epicardial substance-like, with no coding region annotated. The record is from RefSeq and is a predicted model, not a curated record. NCBI's taxonomy places the organism in Eukaryota, Metazoa, Chordata, Actinopteri, Salmoniformes, Salmonidae.